GACGACGCUGGCGGGCGUGCCUAACACAUGCAAGUCGAACGGGAUCCAUGAGAGCUUGCUCUCGGAAGAUCUAGUGGCGAACGGGUGAGUAACACGUGAGAAACCUGCCCUGGAGUGGGGAAUAACUCGGGGAAACCCGAGCUAAUACCGCAUACCCUUGGAUGAUCGCAUGGUCGACCAAGGAAAGAUUUAUCGCUCUAGGAGGGUCUCGCGGCCUAUCAGCUAGUUGGUGGGGGUAAUGGCCUACCAAGGCAACGACGGGUAGCUGGUUUGAGAGAACGAUCAGCCACACUGGGACUGAGACACGGCCCAGACUCCUACGGGAGGCAGCAGUGGGGAAUCUUGCGCAAUGGGCGAAAGCCUGACGCAGCAACGCCGCGUGCGGGAUGACGGCCUUCGUGGUUGUAAACCGCUUUCAGCAGGGACGAAAAUGACGGUACCUGCAGAAGAAGCCCCGGCUAACUACGUG
This 469-nucleotide ribosomal RNA is filed under the name uncultured bacterium. RNAcentral's name for it is "bacterial SSU rRNA". It matches the Rfam family "Bacterial small subunit ribosomal RNA", at positions 33 to 507 of the family's 1533-position model. The record is from RNAcentral.